Molecule: ribosomal RNA, 497 nt
Filed under: uncultured bacterium
Lineage: Bacteria
Description: partial 16S ribosomal RNA
Rfam family: Bacterial small subunit ribosomal RNA
Source: RNAcentral
GAUGAACGCUGGCGGCGUGCCUAAUACAUGCAAGUCGAGCGGACAGACGAGGCGCUUGCUUCUCUUACGUUACCGGCGGACGGGUGAGUAACACGUGGCUACCCUGCCUUUAAGAAUGGGAUCACUUCGGGAGCGCUGAUCCCAUAUCCGUUAAUAUAUUGAACCGCAUGGUUCAUUAGUGAUCGCCGUUUUUGCUGUCCCUUAUAGAUGGUUCCGAGUCGGAUUAGCUAGUUGGUACGGUAACGGCUUACCAAGGCAACGAUGCGUAGCUGAUCUGAGAGGAUGAUCGGCCACACUGGAACUGAGACACGGUCCAGACUCCUACGGGAGGCAGCAGUAGGGAAUCUUCGGCAAUGGGCGAAAGCCUGACGGAGCAAUGCCGCGUGAGUGAUGAAGGUCUUCGGAUCGUAAAACUCUUUUAGUAGGGAAGAAGAAAUGUGUAAUUAUCUAUGCACGUCUUGACGGUACCUAAUCAGAAAGCCACGGCUAACUACGUG